CUUGCUGGAGGAUUUUCAUAGUAUUGCUGGUCAGAAAACGUUCAAUGCAGGGGGGAAUCUAAAAAGGGUAAUUAGGGGCAUAAGUUUCAUUAAAUGUGCUACGUAUAAUUUUAGAAAUUCUCACUGUGUAAAAAAAAAUGGAAAGAGGGGUAAAAAAAUGGAUCUCCAACCAAACGGGUCCUUAAUUUAUGGUUCAUACAAAAUAUUUAUUUUUUGAACAUAUGGUUCUGUUUUUAGACCCAAAAGACGUUAGUCUCGGCAGUCUAAGCAUGGACCGCAGUGUUAUAAAGCAUACGCAAUAUUGCCUCCUAUC
Molecule: long non-coding RNA, 313 nt
Filed under: Brachypodium distachyon (stiff brome)
Lineage: Eukaryota; Viridiplantae; Streptophyta; Magnoliopsida; Poales; Poaceae
Description: long non-coding RNA (BDIS_LNC004939)
Source: RNAcentral